This 443-nucleotide ribosomal RNA is filed under the name uncultured Leptotrichia sp. Its description in RNAcentral is "bacterial SSU rRNA". It matches the Rfam family "Bacterial small subunit ribosomal RNA", at positions 338 to 795 of the family's 1533-position model. Lineage: Bacteria; Fusobacteriati; Fusobacteriota; Fusobacteriia; Fusobacteriales; Leptotrichiaceae. The record is from RNAcentral.
CCUACGGGAGGCAGCAGUGGGGAAUAUUGGACAAUGGGGGCAACCCUGAUCCAGCAAUUCUGUGUGCACGAAGAAGGUUUUCGGAUUGUAAAGUGCUUUCAGCAGGGAAGAAGGAAGUGACGGUACCUGCAGAAGAAGCGACGGCUAAAUACGUGCCAGCAGCCGCGGUAAUACGUAUGUCGCGAGCGUUAUCCGGAAUUAUUGGGCAUAAAGGGCAUCUAGGCGGCCUGACAAGUCAGGGGUGAAAACCUGCGGCUCAACCGCAGGCCUGCCUUUGAAACUGUGAGGCUGGAGUACCGGAGAGGUGGACGGAACUGCACGAGUAGAGGUGAAAUUCGUAGAUAUGUGCAGGAAUGCCGAUGAUGAAGAUAGUUCACUGGACGGUAACUGACGCUGAAGUGCGAAAGCCGGGGGAGCAAACAGGAUUAGAUACCCGGGUAGUC